GGUGAUGGGGUUUCUGAGUUUGUGC
This 25-nucleotide non-coding RNA is filed under the name Arabidopsis thaliana (thale cress). Lineage: Eukaryota; Viridiplantae; Streptophyta; Magnoliopsida; Brassicales; Brassicaceae. The record is from RNAcentral.